UACCAGCCCCCGAGUGGUGGGGAUGAUUAUUUGGCCUAAAGCGUUCGUAGCCGGCUCAGUAAGUCCUCCGUUAAAUCUGACGACUUAAUCGUCAGGCUGCGGGAGAUACUGCUGGGCUAGGAGGCGGAAGAGGUCGACGGUAUUCCAGGGGUAGGGGUGGAAUCCUAUAAUCCUUGGAAGACCACCAGUGGCGAAGGCUGUCGGCUAGAACGCGCCCGACGGUGAGGGAUGAAAGCUGGGGGAGCGAACCGGAUUAGAUACCCGGGUAGUCCCAGCUGUAAACGAUGCAGGCUAGGUGUUUGGGCGGCCACGUGCCGCUCUAGUGCCGCAAGGAAGCUGUUAAGCCUGCCGCCUGGGGAGUACGGCCGCAAGGCUGAAACUUAAGGAAUUGGCGGGGGAGCACCACAAGGGGUGAAGCUUGCGGUUU
Molecule: ribosomal RNA, 427 nt
Filed under: uncultured archaeon
Lineage: Archaea
Description: bacterial SSU rRNA
Rfam family: Archaeal small subunit ribosomal RNA
Source: RNAcentral